This 253-nucleotide ribosomal RNA is filed under the name uncultured bacterium. Its description in RNAcentral is "partial 16S ribosomal RNA". It matches the Rfam family "Bacterial small subunit ribosomal RNA", at positions 524 to 776 of the family's 1533-position model. The record is from RNAcentral.
UACAGAGGUCUCAAGCGUUGUUCGGAAUUACUGGGCGUAAAGCGCACGUAGGCGGCUUUGUAAGUUAGAGGUGAAAGCCCGGGGCUCAACUCCGGAAUUGCCUUUAAGACUGCAUCGCUAGAAUUGUGGAGAGGUAAGUGGAAUUCCGAGUGUAGAGGUGAAAUUCGUAGAUAUUCGGAAGAACACCAGUGGCGAAGGCGACUUACUGGACACAUAUUGACGCUGAGGUGCGAAAGCGUGGGGAGCAAACAGG